AUUAAACGCUGGCGGCAUGCCUUACACAUGCAAGUCGAACGGCAGCACGGGGGCAACCCUGGUGGCGAGUGGCGAACGGGUGAGUAAAGCAUCGGAACGUGCCCUGGAGUGGGGGAGUAACGUAGCGAAAGUUACGCUAAUACCGCAUAUUCUGUGAGCAGGAAAGCAGGGGAUCGCAAGACCUUGCGCUCUGGGAGCGGCCGAUGUCGGAUUAGCUAGUUGGUGGGGUAAAGGCCUACCAAGGCGACGAUCCGUAGCGGGUCUGAGAGGAUGAUCCGCCACACUGGGACUGAGACACGGCCCAGACUCCUACGGGAGGCAGCAGUGGGGAAUUUUGGACAAUGGGCGAAAGCCUGAUCCAGCCAUGCCGCGUGAGUGAAGAAAGGCCUUCGGGUUGGUUAAAGAC
Molecule: ribosomal RNA, 406 nt
Filed under: uncultured bacterium
Lineage: Bacteria
Description: bacterial SSU rRNA
Rfam family: Bacterial small subunit ribosomal RNA
Source: RNAcentral